AUGAAUCACUUGACAAAAAUGCAGCCCAAUUCUAGGCGGAUUUGUUCUGAACAGUGCGGCUUUGUGGAGGGGACGGCUGCGCUGUGCUUUCCCCGCCAAGACCCCAGCAGCGCAGCCAAGCUGCUCCGCAGGCCAGGAACCAGAGCAGGGCAGGGACGGAGGGAGGCAGCGGGGGGAAGCCCAGGUGGGGAGGCGACGCCGAGGUCCCUGGGGAGGAGGAGGGUGGCACAGGACCCCAGCACCUGGGGAGCGGCACCAGGGCCCCCUCGGGUCUCCACAAAGGCCAGAUCACGCAGAGGCCGAGGCUCGGCCACGGCUGCCUCACCCCGCGGCAGAACCGAGCCAGAGGCCCCUGCAGGUCCCAGGCACGACCCCCCUGGCCCGGCUGCAAGGCACAGCCACCUCCCUCCCCCUGCAGACCCCGUGCCCAUGGGGCAGCGCGUCCCCUCGCCACCCUUUGAGCAGGAAUGCUGGUGUCUGCCCGUAGCUCAGCGCCCUGCACAGAAGCUGCCACCAAAGCACCUCUGUGCCCGCAGCCGCGCCUCGGGAGCACCCCAGGCCCUGCCCGCAGCAGGGGGCUGUGUUACCCCCCUCCCCGUGCCCCUGGCUCGGGGGAUGCGGGGCCGGGAUCCAAGUGCCUGCGAUGACCCCGCUGCGCUGACACAGCACGGCCCCAGCAGCGCUGGCCCCACAGCAACACCCCGGGAGCGGGCGCUGGGGAGGCAGAGGAGGGGGCUUCACCCCUGGGCUGAGGAGGGUCCUGGUGGGAUUUGGGCAGGGCCGGCACCACAGCGUGGUGGGGAGCACUUGUGCUGCUUGCAGGCACACAGCACCUGCUUGCCAGGAGCGCUGUGGAAGCCUCAUGGGAUGGGGUGGGGGUGCCCAGCGCCUCCCCGGAGCAGCUCCCCCAGCCUGGCAGCCGAUGCCAUGUCCUCAGCUGUGCCAGACACCCUACAACGUGCCAGCAGGAGCUCGGUGGGUGUUCUCCGGGAUGUGGCAGCUUUCCACCUUGACCAGCCUGGGCUGGGGGCUGUAAAGGCCCGGGCACCCCUCGGCACACCAGUCCCUGUACAAGGAAUGGCCCCGCACCAGGACACGUCCCAGCCCCUCUGUUUGGGAGACGAGCACGGGACCGGCUGGGACACCACGGCUGAGGGGCAGCUCCAGGAGUGGAGCUGGAGGCAGAGGCUGUCACCCGUCACUGCAAAACCCACUGGCACAUUGUGCCAGGCUACUGCGGCUCGCUGUCCGUCACGAUCGCCCUUUUGCUCCCUGUCAGCCCCAGGACCCAGCCUGCAGCUCCCUGUGGGGCUGAGCAGGAGGACAAGCUGCUGCCCUGUGCCGUGGGGUGACCACGGGGCGUGCAGGGCCACCAAGCCAGGUCCCUGCUGCGGGCAGCCCCUACUGCAGCAGGAGCCACCCCAGGCACCCAGUGCAGAUGCCCCCAGGGUGCUGCAGGGAGAUGCGGGUUCUCCCCCCAUUUUCUCCUGGGGGAAGGAGGAAACACGGUUUGGGGCUGUGUGCGGGUGCUGCCCUGCAGCGGGGCAAAUCCUCCCAUUGCCCACCCCAGCUCCGGAGGUCCCCCCCGCGCUUGCCCCAGGGGCUCAGGGCCAGCACAAGGUGCCUCAGCCCCCGCAGCUCCCCUCCCAGCCAGGGGCACUGUGCGCAGCAGCCCCUUCCCGGGACAUCCUGCCCCAAACCCACCGCACGGCCCCCGCCCGCGGCCGCCUGGGCAGCGCGGGUGCCCGCAGAGCACGGGAAGCGCUCCCGGCUGAAUGGCCGGGGAACAAAGCUCCCUUCUCCGGGGCUGCUGGCAGCCAGCGGAGCCCAGGGGCCGCCUGCCAGUGCCAGCCCUGCCCGCUGCCUGCCCGGCCCCGCUGCGACUGCAGCCCCGGGGUCACCGCAGCCUGCAUGGCACCGGCAGAGCCAGAACCCAGCGAAACGUCCCCGGGGAGGGCUCCUCCACCCCAGACCCUCAGCACGGGCUGGGGCCAGCCCCGGGCACCUGCCCGAGCCCUGUGUGCAGAGCAGGGCACCCAGCCCCAGCACGCGGCCAGGGCAGCUUUGGGCACGCAGAGGCCGGGGGAUGCGGCACAGCUCGGGCUGGAUGGCGGCUGGGGCUGGGCCGGGCUCCCCUUGCUCCCGGCAGCUCCCAGCGGGGAGCACAAGGGCUCAGCCCCAGCCCCAGCCCCACGUCCCGGCCCCGUGGGCAGGGGAAGCGCCCGGGCCAGGCCCCGCUCGUCCCGCGGCCUGCGCGGCUGCUGCAGCGUGCGCAGCGCUCCCAAGCGCGGCCUGCGUCAUCCCGGCUCUGACGGGAGCGGGAUGGGGCCCAAUCAGCGGCGGCCCCGAGCCGUCAGCCCACGGCCCCGCUGCCGCAGCUGCACGGGAAGGGCUGGGACCGGCGCUGGGAGCUCCCGGCCGCGCGAGCGCAGCACAGCGGGGCGGCACCGGGGUGGCACCGGGGCGGCAGCGGGGCUGGCGGCCUCCUGCCCAGCCAUGGCUCAGCAGGGCCCGAGGGGCAGCGCUGCCCCCGGGGCCAGCAGUGAGGGCAGGUCCCACUUCUGCUCCCCAAACCUUCUCUUCGCCCCAGUCCCUGCCUGGCCACCAGGAGCCCUCGCCAUUCCUGCCCUGAUCGCUGCACCCCAGUAUGAGGCACCGAGCCCUGGGACAGCCAGGGUCAGCACGGCGCUGCCAGGGGCUGGAUCCCAGGGGCAGGCCAAGCACCCGCUCUCUGGCCACCUUGCCACCCCUGGCACUGCCCCACACACCCCUCCAGGGCCAUCACUGCCCCACGGAGCCAAAGCCACAGCCUGA
This 2814-nucleotide long non-coding RNA is filed under the name Anas zonorhyncha (Eastern spot-billed duck). Its description in RNAcentral is "lncRNA (ENSAZOG00000014726.1)". Lineage: Eukaryota; Metazoa; Chordata; Aves; Anseriformes; Anatidae. The record is from RNAcentral.